Molecule: ribosomal RNA, 549 nt
Filed under: uncultured bacterium
Lineage: Bacteria
Description: bacterial SSU rRNA
Rfam family: Bacterial small subunit ribosomal RNA
Source: RNAcentral
AGGGAAUCUUCCACAAUGGACGCAAGUCUGAUGGAGCAACGCCGCGUGAGUGAAGAAGGUUUUCGGAUCGUAAAGCUCUGUUGUUGGUGAAGAAGGAUAGAGGUAGUAACUGGCCUUUAUUUGACGGUAAUCAACCAGAAAGUCACGGCUAACUACGUGCCAGCAGCCGCGGUAAUACGUAGGUGGCAAGCGUUGUCCGGAUUUAUUGGGCGUAAAGCGAGCGCAGGCGGAAAAAUAAGUCUAAUGUGAAAGCCCUCGGCUUAACCGAGGAAUUGCAUCGGAAACUGUUUUUCUUGAGUGCAGAAGAGGAGAGUGGAACUCCAUGUGUAGCGGUGGAAUGCGUAGAUAUAUGGAAGAACACCAGUGGCGAAGGCGGCUCUCUGGUCUGCAACUGACGCUGAGGCUCGAAAGCAUGGGUAGCGAACAGGAUUAGAUACCCUGGUAGUCCAUGCCGUAAACGAUGAGUGCUAAGUGUUGGGAGGUUUCCGCCUCUCAGUGCUGCAGCUAACGCAUUAAGCACUCCGCCUGGGGAGUACGACCGCAAGGUUG